AUCCAAAACCAACUCUUUUUGUGCACUGUGGUGGAGAAAGUAAAUAAAAAGAAUGAAGUAUGGGUUUCUUUCCCCUAUACAUGACAAGGCUCCUAUGGGAAAGGGAAGUCUUGAUAAAGGAAAUGCCAAUGGUGUUAAGCAUAGUAAGUGUAUUAUUUUUCCUCCCAAAGUGAGUAUGGUUGCUGAAUCUCUAGAAAGAAGAAACCAGAAUUGGUAACCUCUCUGUCACUGUUCAUGCAUGCUUAUACUUGUAUGUAUUUGUGUGAAAUUGUAAAUUAUCCUAUGAUCUUUACAGUGUUUCUUUCUACAAUUGUGAUUGAUUUUGCUUCCGCAGGAUUGUUCGAGCAAAAGUUGCAAAUGAUUUGAUCAUACAAGUUGGGAAUUCCAUUUUUCAGUUACAUAAGGUGCACUGAAUAUGUUUUCUCUUAAUCUACAUAACCCUAUUGGAAUUUGGAAAUUGAUAUCUAUUUGCAGCAUUACUAUUACAUAGGUAACUUCAAAUUUAAGUCUUUUCUAGAGUUGCUUGAAGUUUUGUGUUGACAUUAGACCAUAUCACACUCUCUCAUAGCCUUUCAACAAGAUUAUGGACAUAUCAUUAGAGUUGAUGACUACUGAAGAUUAGAGAGAAUUCUAUAGGUUUUAGUGAUUAUAAGACUCUAGCAGAGAUCGAGGUAAAAACAACUUGGAAUCAGAAAAUAAUUCAGGUCAUUUUUCCCACUUCUCUCUUUUAAGCCUUGAAAAUAUGCAUGGAGUUAUAUUGGUUCUUUCCUGAACUAUUUUUUUCCAACUUAUUCAAAUAAAAAUGUUCAAAGAUCUUUCUUUUUUUCAUUCUCUUUUGAGGAUAAAUCCAUGAUCAGAUUCUAACUUCAUAUAUCAUUUAUGGGUAGUCAGCUUCCUUUGGUAUCAAGAAGUGGAUAUUUGAAUAGAUUAGUAUUCCAAAGAAUUUGCAUUAGAGACAAAAAUACAGUGUCUAAGAUCCAAAUAGACAAUUUUCCCGGUGGAGCUGAAAUCUUUGAGUUGGUGGUGAAAUUCUGCUAUGGAUGGAAAGUUGAUCUGACAGCAGCCAACAUCGCUCCAGCAUACUGUGCUGCAUAUUUCUUAGAAAUGAGUGAUGAUCUUGAACAAGGAAAUCUUAUUUCUAAGGCAGAAACUUUCCUAAGUUUUAUACUCCUGACAUCCUGGAAAGAAAUAUUUCAGAUUUUCAAAAGUUGCGAGACAAUUGCUUCAUGGGCCAAGAAGUUACAAGUCUUGAAACGAUGCUCUGAAGCUAUUGCUUGGAAGGCUUCCAUGGACCCAAAAACAUUUACUGCUGGUGAUGAUGAUUCAUUGGGUUAUAAUGCUCAAUCAAAUAACGCAAAAAACUCACAACAUAGUUGCAUAGCUGAGAAUUGGUGGUUUGAGGAUGUUUCAUUUCUUCGAAUAGAUCAUUUUCUUGAAGUCAUUGAAUCUACAAAAAGAAAAGGGGUAAGAUCAGAGCUUGUUGGAUCAUGCAUAGCUCACUGGACAGAAAAAUGGAUUUCUCAAAUUCCUUUUGGACAACACAAUCAGCCAACACACCAGUUAUUGAAAGUUACCGCAGAAAGUUUGAUUAAAGUACUUCCAGAGGAAAAAAACUCAGUUUCCUGCAAUUUUUUGCUUCACCUUCUCAAGUUGGGAAUUAUGAUGAGAAUUGAGUUUGAACUGUUAAACAAGCUAGAACAAAGGAUAGCUCUUAUGUUGGAGCAGUGUUCUGCUUCAGAUCUCUUAGUGAGGAAUUAUGGCAAUACUGAUACUGUUUAUGACGUGAGAAUCAUUACAAGGGUGGUUGAAUCAUAUGUUUCUUCUGUGUUAAAUAAUCCAGCACCAAGAAUAUAUGUUGUUGGAAGGUUGGUGGAUGAGUAUCUUACGAUGAUUGCUAAGGAUGAGAAGCUUCCAAUUAAACAUUUUCAAUUGCUUGCAGAAGCAUUACCAAAAGAUGCCCGAUAUUGUGACGACAACCUCUAUAGAGCCAUAGACAUGUAUCUCAAGGUAUGUAGCAAGUUGCCAUCUCUUAACAUUUUAUUAUGUUAAAGCUGAUACUAAGGUACGUAGAACAUUGAGUUCUGGACUAAUGCAUGAGAAGAAUUAUUUUACUUUGAUACUUCAUAGCUCAAACGUGCCGAUAUACUGAUGACGGCUAAAAGUUUUCUGUUCUGUUAUAUUAAAACUUCAGAAAAUGUAAAUCCAGUCCAUAUAUUUUGUUUCCAAUUGCAUCUCACUAACUAGAGCUACCUGCAACUCUGUAUUGGUACUUGACCAAUUAUGCAGGCACAUCCUAAGCUAACAGAAGAAGAAAGAACUAGUGUGUGCAAAGCCAUGGACUAUCAUAAACUAUCAGAAGAAGCUCGCCAGCAUGCGAUGAAGAAUGAAAGAUUGCCCUUGUAUAUCUCAAUGCGACUUGCCCUUCUUGAACAAGUAAAUAUGACAAAAUCAUCGACAAAUAAUAGAUCCAACUACAGAAGAACAAAGACUCAAACUAUUAUCAGAAUAAGCAAGGGUUUAGAUAAGGGAUGCAUGACACCUCAGAAAGAAUUAACUAUGAUGAAGAAAGAGGUCGAGAACAUGAAGGUGCAACUAAAUGCAUUGCAGAAGUGUAAAAUUCAGCUUCAGAGACAAAUAAAAGGAUGCACUAUCUAGAAAUAGGGAUCCAGGUUCUGUCAAAGCAUUGUAUUAGCAUCUUUUAUGUUGCUUUGUUUGAAAGUCCAUUACAAUACCUGCAGAAUGUUGUAGAUUGUGGAAGAAAAUGUGACAUUUUUAUUUUAUGCUUCACGAGAAGAUGGUAUGUUCUUAUCUGAAAUGCAAUUAUAUUAGAUAAUGACAACUAGCAAAUUUUAUUCAAAA
This 2859-nucleotide unclassified non-coding RNA is filed under the name Hevea brasiliensis (rubber tree). The record is from RNAcentral. Lineage: Eukaryota; Viridiplantae; Streptophyta; Magnoliopsida; Malpighiales; Euphorbiaceae.